RNAcentral lists this ribosomal RNA (253 nucleotides) under uncultured bacterium. RNAcentral describes it as "partial 16S ribosomal RNA". It matches the Rfam family "Bacterial small subunit ribosomal RNA", at positions 524 to 776 of the family's 1533-position model. The record is from RNAcentral.
UACGUAGGGGGCAAGCGUUGUCCGGAUUUAUUGGGCGUAAAGAGCGUGUAGGCGGCCUGGUAGGUCAGCUGUGAAAACUCGAGGCUCAACCUCGAGACGCCGGUUGAAACCAUCAGGCUAGAGUCCGGAAGAGGAGAGUGGAAUUCCCGGUGUAGCGGUGAAAUGCGCAGAUAUCGGGAAGAACACCCGUGGCUAAGGCGUCUCUCUAGUACGGUACUGACGCUGAGACGCGAAAGCGUGGGGAGCGAACAGG